UGCCAGCCGCCGCGGUAAUACGAAGGGGGCUAGCGUUGUUCGGAAUCACUGGGCAUAAAGCGCACGUAGGCGGGAAUGCAAGUCGGGUGUGAAAUCCCUCGGCCUAACCAAGGAACUGCACCCAAAACUGUGUUUCUUGAGGGCAGCAGGGGAGCGUGGAAUUCCUGGUGGAGCGGUGAAAUGCGUUGAUAUCAGGAGGAACACCAGCGGCGAAGGCAUCUCUCUGGGUCGAUAUUGACGCUGAGGCGCGAAGGCGUGGGUAGCGAACGGGAUUAGAUA
Molecule: ribosomal RNA, 279 nt
Filed under: uncultured bacterium
Lineage: Bacteria
Description: partial 16S ribosomal RNA
Rfam family: Bacterial small subunit ribosomal RNA
Source: RNAcentral